UUUAAUAUCACUUUGAGGAAAUUUGUAGACCUGGCUAUACCUUGUCUCAGAUUAAUGAAUAUUUGGUUGGAUGAAACUGGCUCUUCCUUGGCAAAUUUUCUCCACCUAAGCCCAAAGCUCAGGCAAUGCCAUAAUUCUCUUCCCAUUUCUUGGUCCCCCAAGGUUGCUCAGGAGAGCUGGAGAAGCGAGGGAGUGGAUCUAGAAGACUGAACCUGGGCUUGGCGUGGUCAUGGGUGGUGGGCCAAGGGCUAAGGCCCAUCUGUGUCCUUCUCCCCCUUGCCCUUGGUAGUGGAGGGUGAUCUGAUGGCUUAGAGCUGCCAGACCUGAAGCUCUGUUUCUCUGGGCUUUUCCCAGAACCUCUGGAGGCUAAUCUCCAUGUGGCAGAAGAACAGCAAUCCCCAGGAACAGCCACUGGACGGAGCCCAUGUGUGACUACUCCAGCCUGUGGGCCACGUUCAGGUGUGUGUUCAGGGGCUCUCCAAGGGGACACUGUGGUGGCCCCUCGCCGUGGAAGAUAAUAGUUACCCUCCUCCUGCGUCACUUCUCUUCUCCCCUACCUGUGUUGCUGGUACUUCCAAAUAAAUUAUCAGCCCUUACAUCCUGUCUCAGGCUCUGCUUCUUGGAGGAAUGUAAGUGACACCCUGCUCCGCAUUAUAAAAGGCUCUGCUCCAAGCUUGGUAUAGAGUCAGCUAAUUUCU
This 698-nucleotide long non-coding RNA is filed under the name Marmota monax (woodchuck). The record is from RNAcentral. Lineage: Eukaryota; Metazoa; Chordata; Mammalia; Rodentia; Sciuridae.